This 1150-nucleotide ribosomal RNA is filed under the name Lactiplantibacillus plantarum. RNAcentral's name for it is "bacterial SSU rRNA". It matches the Rfam family "Bacterial small subunit ribosomal RNA", at positions 346 to 1479 of the family's 1533-position model. The record is from RNAcentral. Lineage: Bacteria; Bacillati; Bacillota; Bacilli; Lactobacillales; Lactobacillaceae.
GGCCAGCAGGUGGGGAAUCUCUCCCACAAAGGGACGAUAGUUUGGAGGGAGCCACCGCCCCCUUAAAUGAAAGAAGGGUUUUCGGGUUCGAAAAAACUUCUUUGUUAAAAGAAGAACAUUUCUGAGAGUAACUGUUCAGGUAUUGACGGUAUUUAACCAGAAAGCCACGGCUAACUACGUGCCAGCAGCCGCGGUAAUACGUAGGUGGCAAGCGUUGUCCGGAUUUAUUGGGCGUAAAGCGAGCGCAGGCGGUUUUUUAAGUCUGAUGUGAAAGCCUUCGGCUCAACCGAAGAAGUGCAUCGGAAACUGGGAAACUUGAGUGCAGAAGAGGACAGUGGAACUCCAUGUGUAGCGGUGAAAUGCGUAGAUAUAUGGAAGAACACCAGUGGCGAAGGCGGCUGUCUGGUCUGUAACUGACGCUGAGGCUCGAAAGUAUGGGUAGCAAACAGGAUUAGAUACCCUGGUAGUCCAUACCGUAAACGAUGAAUGCUAAGUGUUGGAGGGUUUCCGCCCUUCAGUGCUGCAGCUAACGCAUUAAGCAUUCCGCCUGGGGAGUACGGCCGCAAGGCUGAAACUCAAAGGAAUUGACGGGGGCCCGCACAAGCGGUGGAGCAUGUGGUUUAAUUCGAAGCUACGCGAAGAACCUUACCAGGUCUUGACAUACUAUGCAAAUCUAAGAGAUUAGACGUUCCCUUCGGGGACAUGGAUACAGGUGGUGCAUGGUUGUCGUCAGCUCGUGUCGUGAGAUGUUGGGUUAAGUCCCGCAACGAGCGCAACCCUUAUUAUCAGUUGCCAGCAUUAAGUUGGGCACUCUGGUGAGACUGCCGGUGACAAACCGGAGGAAGGUGGGGAUGACGUCAAAUCAUCAUGCCCCUUAUGACCUGGGCUACACACGUGCUACAAUGGAUGGUACAACGAGUUGCGAACUCGCGAGAGUAAGCUAAUCUCUUAAAGCCAUUCUCAGUUCGGAUUGUAGGCUGCAACUCGCCUACAUGAAGUCGGAAUCGCUAGUAAUCGCGGAUCAGCAUGCCGCGGUGAAUACGUUCCCGGGCCUUGUACACACCGCCCGUCACACCAUGAGAGUUUGUAACACCCAAAGUCGGUGGGGUAACCUUUUAGGAACCAGCCGCCUAAGGUGACAGAGAUUGGG